GAUCUUCAAGCCAGGGUGAGCCCUACCAGUCUUUGACUCUCCACUUCUUCCUCCAAUCUAGACACCCUGGAUGUGAAUGGUAGAGUUCAUGGGAAGAGCAAUCACUAGCCAGAAAACACUUAUGGACUCUUUGAAGAUCACCUUCUACUACAGGAAAUUUCUAGUACAUCAGGAUUCUCCAUCUGGUCUCUGGUCAUUGGUCCAAGAAGGUCACCCUACAUCCCUAU
Molecule: long non-coding RNA, 227 nt
Filed under: Dasypus novemcinctus (nine-banded armadillo)
Lineage: Eukaryota; Metazoa; Chordata; Mammalia; Cingulata; Dasypodidae
Description: lncRNA (ENSDNOG00000050996.1)
Source: RNAcentral